GAGUUUGAUCUUGGCUCAGAAUCAACGCUGGCGGCGCGCUUAACACAUGCAAGUCGAACGAGAAAGGGAGCAAUCCUGAGUAAAGUGGCGUACGGGUGAGUAACACGUGGGUAAUCUACCCUCUGGUGGGGAAUAACUUUGGGAAACCGAAGCUAAUACCGCAUAAGACCGGAAGGUGAAAGGCGCAAGUCGCCGGAGGAAGAGCCCGCGGCUGAUUAGCUAGUUGGUAGGGUAAGAGCCUACCAAGGCUGAGAUCGGUAGCCGGCCUGAGAGGGCACACGGCCACACUGGCACUGAAACACGGGCCAGACUCCUACGGGAGGCAGCAGUGGGGAAUCUUGCACAAUGGGGGCAACCCUGAUGCAGCGACGCCGCGUGAGUGAUGAAGCCCUUCGGGGUGUAAAGCUCUUUCGGCAGGGACGAUAAUGACGGUACCUGAAGAAGAAGCUGCGGCUAACUACGUGCCAGCAGCCGCCGUAAG
This 481-nucleotide ribosomal RNA is filed under the name uncultured Acidobacteriota bacterium. RNAcentral describes it as "bacterial SSU rRNA". It matches the Rfam family "Bacterial small subunit ribosomal RNA", at positions 9 to 524 of the family's 1533-position model. Lineage: Bacteria; Pseudomonadati; Acidobacteriota. The record is from RNAcentral.